AACGAAUGCUGGCGGCGUGCUUAACACAUGCAAGUCGAACGGGUUCUAGCAGAAUAUCGCUGGGAUUAGUGGCAAACGGGUGAGUAACACGUGGGUAAUCUACCUCUGAAUGGGGAAUAACCCGCCGAAAGGCGAGCUAAUACCCCGUAGUACUGGAAGGUGUAAUUCCUUCCUUUUAAAGAUGGCGUCCGUAAGGGGCUAUCGUUCAGAGCGGGGCCCGCGGCCUAUCAGCUAGUUGGUGAGGUAACGGCCCACCAAGGCAACGACGGGUAGCCGGCCUGAAAGGGCGAUCGGCCACACUGGAACUGAGACACGGUCCAGACUCCUACGGGUGGCUG
RNAcentral lists this ribosomal RNA (338 nucleotides) under uncultured Nitrospirota bacterium. RNAcentral's name for it is "bacterial SSU rRNA". It matches the Rfam family "Bacterial small subunit ribosomal RNA", at positions 29 to 351 of the family's 1533-position model. Lineage: Bacteria; Pseudomonadati; Nitrospirota. The record is from RNAcentral.